Molecule: non-coding RNA, 196 nt
Filed under: Thermanaeromonas toyohensis
Lineage: Bacteria; Bacillati; Bacillota; Clostridia; Neomoorellales; Neomoorellaceae
Also listed under: 1 other name
Source: RNAcentral
AGCCUGUAGGAGGUAACGGGUGCCCUUAACCUUUAAAGGGUAGGGGUUAAAAGGGAAGCCGGUGAGAAUCCGGCGCGGUCCCGCCACUGUGAAGGGGAGGGGCCUUACAUUUAGGUCACUGGGGUUUUAAGCCCUGGGAAGACGUAAGGUUCCGGUGAACCUGAGCCAGGAAACCUGCCCGUUGACCUUUAACUUA